RNAcentral lists this long non-coding RNA (449 nucleotides) under Homo sapiens (human). RNAcentral's name for it is "PREDICTED lncRNA (TCONS_00215258)". The record is from RNAcentral. Lineage: Eukaryota; Metazoa; Chordata; Mammalia; Primates; Hominidae.
GGGAUUGGUGUCUGGGAAACUAGUCCUGAGAAACACGGACAUCACCCGGCAUCUUAGCUGGAAACAUCGAGUCAGACCCCUUCGCUUCACAGAAGGGGAAACUGAGGACCAAAGAAGGCGGCCGUCGGGUUGGCGUGGAAAGAGAGCCCUGGUUUCCAGUGCCACCGCGGACCUCAACCCGUGGCGUGGCCUUGGGACACAAAUCCAGGAGCCAUUCCUUCUGCCUGGGAGGAGGGAGUGAUGAAGACCAGAGGAAUCCCAGAGGAGAAGCCAUCUGAGAUCGGGAGGAGGAGAAAUGGAACAUCAGGCGGAGGAAACAGCCCAGACAAUCGCACUGGGACGUGAAAACCCUUGGGCUGCAUGCGGGGAGAAAACCAGAAUUGGGGAUGGUUAGGGUUUUGGAGGGAAACACAGGGACAUGUGACCAAAAAUAAUAAUAACUACUGUUA